CUGAAAUUCUAAUAAGAUAAAUGAAAAUAGUUUGUGCUGUCUUAUUCCAAAGGCUUCCUGAGGGAAUCAAAGCCAAUUGGACAAAUCUAGACAACUAUGUCAAAACUAUUUGUCACAAACAUAGUAAAUAAAAUUUUAAGGAUCUUUCAACAGAUGAAUGAUUUCAUCACUCACGAUACAGAUGAUAAUCUAUGGGAAGGAGAAAACACAGUAGAAGACGUGCAAAUAGAACCCAACCUAUAUUCAAGAACAAGUCGAUAACAAAUGGAGUAGAUAUUAAAAUUAUCGCCUCUUUUUUAAUAAUAAAAUACUAAAGCAG
Molecule: long non-coding RNA, 319 nt
Filed under: Fukomys damarensis (Damara mole-rat)
Lineage: Eukaryota; Metazoa; Chordata; Mammalia; Rodentia; Bathyergidae
Description: lncRNA (ENSFDAG00000023244.1)
Source: RNAcentral